Molecule: ribosomal RNA, 1341 nt
Filed under: uncultured bacterium
Lineage: Bacteria
Description: 16S ribosomal RNA
Rfam family: Bacterial small subunit ribosomal RNA
Source: RNAcentral
GACGAACGCUGGCGGCGUGCUUAACACAUGCAAGUCGAACGGUAAGGCUCCAGCUUGCUGGGGUACACGAGUGGCGAACGGGUGAGUAACACGUGGGUGACCUGCCCUGCACUUCGGGAUAAGCCUGGGAAACUGGGUCUAAUACCGGAUAGGACCGCACCGUGAGGGUGUGGUGGAAAGUUUUUUCGGUGUGGGAUGGGCCCGCGGCCUAUCAGCUUGUUGGUGGGGUAAUGGCCUACCAAGGCGGCGACGGGUAGCCGGCCUGAGAGGGUGGACGGCCACAUUGGGACUGAGACACGGCCCAGACUCCUACGGGAGGCAGCAGUGGGGAAUAUUGCACAAUGGGCGGAAGCCUGAUGCAGCGACGCCGCGUGGGGGAUGACGGCCUUCGGGUUGUAAACUCCUUUCACCAUCGACGAAGGGUUUCUGACGGUAGAUGGAGAAGAAGCACCGGCUAACUACGUGCCAGCAGUCGCGGUAAUACGUAGGGUGCGAGCGUUGUCCGGAAUUACUGGGCGUAAAGAGCUCGUAGGUGGUUUGUCGCGUCGUCUGUGAAAUUCCGGGGCUUAACUCCGGGCGUGCAGGCGAUACGGGCAUAACUUGAGUACUGUAGGGGAGACUGGAAUUCCUGGUGUAGCGGUGAAAUGCGCAGAUAUCAGGAGGAACACCGGUGGCGAAGGCGGGUCUCUGGGCAGUAACUGACGCUGAGGAGCGAAAGCAUGGGGAGCGAACAGGAUUAGAUACCCUGGUAGUCCAUGCCGUAAACGGUGGGCGCUAGGUGUGGGUUUCCUUCCACGGGAUCCGUGCCGUAGCUAACGCAUUAAGCGCCCCGCCUGGGGAGUACGGCCGCAAGGCUAAAACUCAAAGGAAUUGACGGGGGCCCGCACAAGCGGCGGAGCAUGUGGAUUAAUUCGAUGCAACGCGAAGAACCUUACCUGGGCUUGACAUAUACAGGAUCGCGCCAGAGAUGGUGUUUCCCUUGUGGUUUGUAUACAGGUGGUGCAUGGUUGUCGUCAGCUCGUGUCGUGAGAUGUUGGGUUAAGUCCCGCAACGAGCGCAACCCUUGUCUUAUGUUGCCAGCACGUUGUGGUGGGGACUCGUAAGAAACUGCCGGGGUUAACUCGGAGGAAGGUGGGGAUGACGUCAAAUCAUCAUGCCCCUUAUGUCCAGGGCUUCACACAUGCUACAAUGGUCGGUACAGUGGGUUGCCAGUCCGUGAGGGCGAGCUAAUCCCGCAAAGCCGGUCUCAGUUCGGAUCGGGGUCUGCAACUCGACCCCGUGAAGUCGGAGUCGCUAGUAAUCGCAGAUCAGCAACGCUGCGGUGAAUACGUUCCCGGGCCU